GUGAAGCUGGAUUCGCUAGUAAUCGCGCAUCAGCCAUGGCGCGGUGAAUACGUUCCCGGGCCUUGUACACACCGCCCGUCACACCAUGAGAGUUGAGAAUACCCGAAGUCCAUGUCAAAGUGGCCGAAGGUAGGCUUGAUGAUUGGGGUGAAGUCGUAACAAGGUAGC
RNAcentral lists this ribosomal RNA (168 nucleotides) under uncultured bacterium. Its description in RNAcentral is "partial 16S ribosomal RNA". It matches the Rfam family "Bacterial small subunit ribosomal RNA", at positions 1320 to 1500 of the family's 1533-position model. The record is from RNAcentral.